UUAAACUUAUACAUAUUUAAAACCUCUAUGCAAUGCUAAUGUAAAGAUGUAUAUAAGAAAAACUAGUGUUUAUUAGAUUUAUGAUAAAAUAGGAAGGUAUCGGCCCAUCGUGAACGAAUGUCAUCUAUAUCUUCUUGUUAGAAUGAUGUUUCAUCACUAAACUCAUAUAAUUUGAACAAAUUUAAAUUAUGAUAAAUUAACAACAACAACAUUAAUUUAACAAAUAUACAUAAAUUACAAGUAAAUGGAUAGUUAAUAUCUUAGUCUAUGAAUUGAUAAUGCAUCUAGCGAUAAUAUUAUACAUAUGUCUCAUCACAUAAUAUCCACAAUCACACCUGUUGAAUUGUUUAUGCGUCUACAAAUAUAUAUUAACAACAACAAUAUAGUAUCCACAAUCACUCCCUUUUCCAAUUUCAACCACCCCAAUCCAUUCUAAAACAUAUAUUGUCAUGAAUUCAUGUGAUUAACCUCCAUAACUUCAACAACAAAACGCAUAAGCAUCAAACACUCAAAGACAACAUUUCAACAACAACAACAACAAUUUCAUUAUAGAUUAGCACAAAUCAUAACUCCCUAAUCAUGGAUUUUAUCCCCCAAAAGCUAAAUCCUAUCUAAGAACUCACCUUGAAGAUGAAGAUGGUGAAAUAGAGAUGAAGUUGGUGAUUUGGAUGAUGAAGAUGAGAUGAUGGUGGUGACUGUUUCCAUGACUUUUCUCUUCUUCUUCCUUCCUUCGUCUUCUUCUCUUCUUCUCUUCUUUCUCUUUCCGACAUUUACCUUUUCUUUUCUUUCUUUCUGAUAACUCUCUUUCUCUCUUUCCUACUAUCUCUCUUCUUAUCCACUUCUUCUUUUCCUUCUACCACACAAUAUUAUAUACAUAUAUACAUAAUAUCUAAAUAUAUAAUAUAAUAUUAUAUAAUGAUACAAAAUAUCCCAAAUGAUAUUUUGUCUCCUUGUAUCAACUGACCAAUUAUUAAUGUUAUCAAAAUGUCCCCUCUUGUACUUAUUAAUAAUGGUAUGUCCCUUUUAUUAAUAAUUAAUCUAUUCAGAAUUCACUGGUUACUCUGUUGAUCCCAACCGACAACUUUUAGAGCACAUAGCAACUCUAAUUGAUUGAUCCAUUGAACACCAAUUACAUAUAUAUAACUAAAUGUAUGAGAAAAAAAAACAGCAAAGUUUUCUAAUGCAUUAAAAUACGGUGUUAAGUGUCAAUAUUUGUGUCUACAAGUUGUCUCUCAUAUCACAUAUCAACAUAUAUUUAAGUUUUUAAAAAACAUAUAAAAAAUAUUUUUAAAAUUAGAGGACCACAUUUAACUAUAACCUAAUAAAAUUUUAAAUUAUCGGCCAAAGAAAAUAAUAAUGAUAAAAUUUUAAAUUUUCCACCAAAGAAAAUAAUAAAAAGGUUUGACCAGUAUUUGGACACACGGACGCACACUUCUAAUGCAUUCUCUUUCCAUUCAGCCAACACUAUUAUAAAAAAUGGAUAUGAAAGGAUUUUAUCAUUAUUUUUAGAGGUGAGGUAACGAAUGGAUGUCAUAAAAAUUUGUCACUUUACGUCUCGAUUAUUAUAUAUAGGAUAAAGUGUUCUUCACAUGAGUUCGAUCAUCAACAACAAUAUUUUUAUUAAUUUUAAAAUUAUGCUGCGCACGUCACAUAUCUCUCGGUUUUAUUAAAUAACCGAGGAAAAUAUACUAUUUACGUUGGAUUGUGUUAAUAAUUAAGGGAUUUAAACCUUUUCUUUUUAAAUUCAAAUUUGACUGAUCUGGAUCAUUUUUUUUUACACAUAACAUGUAAAUCAUUUGACAUAAUCAGAUUAUUUGUAUUUUAUAUAGAACAUAACACAGAAUACCAAAUUUACAUUGUUUACAAAAUAAAAUGUACGAUGCUUACAAUACUUAUAAUGACAUUUUGGAUACACAAAAUAUCUACCAAGAGAACCUAUGCAUUUUUAAACUUAUACAUAUUUAAAACCUCUAUACACUGCUAAUGUAAAGAUGUAAAUAAAUAAAAACUAGUGUUUAUUAGACUUAUGACAAAAUAGGAAGGUAUCGGCCCAUCAUGAACGAAUGUCAUCUAUAUCUUCUUGUUAGAAUGAUGUUUCAUCACUAAACUCAUAUAAUUUGAACAAAUUUAAAAUAUGAUAAAUUAACAACAACAUUAAUUUAACAAAUAUACAUAAAUUACAAGUAUAUGGAUAGUUAAUAUCUUAGUCUAUGAAUUGAUAAUGCCUCUAACGACAAUAUUAUAGAUAUGUCUCAUCACAUAGUAUCCAUAAUCAC
Molecule: long non-coding RNA, 2276 nt
Filed under: Lathyrus oleraceus (garden pea)
Lineage: Eukaryota; Viridiplantae; Streptophyta; Magnoliopsida; Fabales; Fabaceae
Description: Pisum sativum (pea) long non-coding RNA (PSAT_LNC021778)
Source: RNAcentral